This 440-nucleotide ribosomal RNA is filed under the name uncultured bacterium. Its description in RNAcentral is "partial 16S ribosomal RNA". It matches the Rfam family "Bacterial small subunit ribosomal RNA", at positions 338 to 795 of the family's 1533-position model. The record is from RNAcentral.
CCUACGGGUGGCAGCAGUGGGGAAUAUUGCACAAUGGGGGAAACCCUGAUGCAGCGACGCCGCGUGAGUGAAGAAGUAUCUCGGUACGUAAAGCUCUAUCAGCAGGGAAGAAAAUGACGGUACCUGACUAAGAAGCCCCGUCUAACUACGUGCCAGCAGCCGCGGUAAUACGUAGGGGGCAAGCGUUAUCCGGAUUUACUGGGUGUAAAGGGAGCGUAGACGGCAGCACAAGUCUGGAGUGAAAUGCCGGGGCUUAACCCCGGAACUGCUGUGGAAACUGUGGGGCUGGAGUGCAGGAAGGGUAAGCGGAAUUCCUAGUGUAGCGGUGAAAUGCGUAGAUAGUAGGAGGAACACCGGUGGCGAAGGCGAGUUACUGGACUGUAACUGACGUUGAGGCUCGAAAGCGUGGGGAGCAAACAGGAUUAGAUACCCCUGUAGUC